UACGUAAGGACCGAGCGUUGUCCGGAAUCAUUGGGCGUAAAGGGUACGUAGGCGGUUAUCUAAGUUAGAAGUCAAAGGCUAUAGCUCAACUAUAGUAAGCUUUUAAAACUGGAUAACUUGAGAGAUGGAAGGGAAAGUGGAAUUCCUAGUGUAGCGGUGAAAUGCGCAGAUAUUAGGAGGAAUACCGGUGGCGAAGGCGACUUUCUGGCCAUUAUCUGACGCUGAGGUACGAAAGCGUGGGUAGCAAACAGGAUUAGAUACCCUGGUAGUCCAGGGCG
RNAcentral lists this ribosomal RNA (278 nucleotides) under uncultured Eubacteriales bacterium. Its description in RNAcentral is "uncultured Clostridiales bacterium partial 16S ribosomal RNA". It matches the Rfam family "Bacterial small subunit ribosomal RNA", at positions 524 to 802 of the family's 1533-position model. The record is from RNAcentral. Lineage: Bacteria; Bacillati; Bacillota; Clostridia; Eubacteriales.